AUGGUAGGAUAGAGGCCUACCAUGGUGGUAACGGGUAACGGGGUGUUAGGGCACGACACCGGAGAGGGAGCCUGAGAAACGGCUACCACAUCCAAGGAUGGCAGCAGGCGCGCAAAUUACCCAAUCCCGACACGGGGAGGUAGUGACAAUAAAUAACAAUACGGGGUUCUUUAGGAUCUCGUAAUUUGAAUGAGUACAAUUUAAAUCUCUUAACGAGGAACAAUUGGAGGGCAAGUCUGGUGCCAGCAGCCGCGGUAAUUCCAGCUCCAAUAGCGUAUAUUAAAGUUGUUGCAGUUAAAAAGCUCGUAGUUGAAUUUCGGGGUCAGUAGGUCGGUCGUGCCACUGGUAUGAACUGGUUUUACUGAUUCCUCCCUCUUGAAGAACUGUAAUGCCAUUAAUUUGGUGUUGCAGGGAGUCAGGACUGUUACUUUGAAAAAAUUAGAGUGUUUAAAGCAGGCUUUAGCUUGAAUACAUUAGCAUGGAAUAAUGAAAUAGGACGUUUGAUCCUAUUUUGUUGGUUUCUAGGAUUGACGUAAUGAUUAAUAGGGAUAGUUGGGGGCAUUAGUAUUCAAUUGUCAGAGGUGAAAUUCUUGGAUUUAUUGAAGACUAACUACUGCGAAAGCAUUUGCCAAGGAUGUUUUCAUUAAUCAAGAACGAAAGUUAGGGGAUCGAAGACGAUCAGAUACCGUCGUAGUCUUAACCAUAAACUAUGCCGACUAGGGAUCGGAUGAUGUUAAUUUUUUAAUGACUCAUUCGGCGCCUUACGGGAAACCAAAGUGUUUGGG
This 785-nucleotide ribosomal RNA is filed under the name uncultured Glomus. Its description in RNAcentral is "SSU rRNA". It matches the Rfam family "Eukaryotic small subunit ribosomal RNA", at positions 325 to 1111 of the family's 1831-position model. Lineage: Eukaryota; Fungi; Glomeromycota; Glomeromycetes; Glomerales; Glomeraceae. The record is from RNAcentral.